Molecule: ribosomal RNA, 248 nt
Filed under: uncultured bacterium
Lineage: Bacteria
Description: partial small subunit ribosomal RNA
Rfam family: Bacterial small subunit ribosomal RNA
Source: RNAcentral
AGAAUCAACGCUGGCGGCGUGCCUAACACAUGCAAGUCGAACGAGAAAGUGGUAGCAAUACCAUGAGUAAAGUGGCGCACGGGUGAGUAACACGUGACUAACCUACCCUUGAGUGGGGGAUAACGUGAGGGAAACCUUAGCUAAUACCGCAUAAUACCCACGGGUCAAAGGAGCAAUUCGCUCGAGGAGGGGGUCGCGGCCGAUUAGUUAGUUGGCAGGGUAAUGGCCUACCAAGACGAUGAUCGGUA